This 416-nucleotide ribosomal RNA is filed under the name Vibrio parahaemolyticus. Its description in RNAcentral is "bacterial LSU rRNA". It matches the Rfam family "Bacterial large subunit ribosomal RNA", at positions 2533 to 2925 of the family's 2925-position model. Lineage: Bacteria; Pseudomonadati; Pseudomonadota; Gammaproteobacteria; Vibrionales; Vibrionaceae. The record is from RNAcentral.
CGGCUCAUCACAUCCUGGGGCUGAAGUCGGUCCCAAGGGUAUGGCUGUUCGCCAUUUAAAGUGGUACGCGAGCUGGGUUUAGAACGUCGUGAGACAGUUCGGUCCCUAUCUGCCGUGGGCGUUGGAAGAUUGAAGGGGGCUGCUCCUAGUACGAGAGGACCGGAGUGGACGAACCUCUGGUGUUCGGGUUGUGUCGCCAGACGCAUUGCCCGGUAGCUAAGUUCGGAAUCGAUAACCGCUGAAAGCAUCUAAGCGGGAAGCGAGCCCUGAGAUGAGUCUUCCCUGAUACUUUAAGUAUCCUAAAGGGUUGUCGGAGACUACGACGUUGAUAGGUCAGGUGUGUAAGUGCUGUGAGGCAUUGAGCUAACUGAUACUAAUUGCCCGUGAGGCUUAACCAUACAACACCCAAGGGGUUU